GAUGAACGCUGGCGGCGUGCCUAAUACAUGCCAGUCGAGCGAACGGACGAGAAGCUUGCUUCUCUGAUGUUAGCGGCGGACGGGUGAGUAACACGUGGAUAACCUACCUAUAAGACUGGGAUAACUUCGGGAAACCGGAGCUAAUACCGGAUGAUAUUUUGAACCGCAUGGUUCAAAAGUGAAAGACGGUCUUGCUGUCACUUAUAGAUGGAUCCGCGCUGCAUUAGCUAGUUGGUAAGGUAACGGCUUACCAAGGCAACGAUGCAUAGCCGACCUGAGAGGGUGGUCGGCCACACCGGAACUGAGACACGGGCCCGACUCCUAAGGGAGGCAGCAGUAGGGAAUCUUCCGCAAUGGGCGAAAGCCUGACGGAGCAACGCCGCGUGAGUGAUGAAGGUCUUCGGAUCGUAAAACUCUGUUAUUAGGGAAGAACAUAUGUGUAAGUAACUGUGCACAUCUUGACGGUACCUAAUCAGAAAGCCACGGCUAACUACGUG
Molecule: ribosomal RNA, 497 nt
Filed under: uncultured bacterium
Lineage: Bacteria
Description: partial 16S ribosomal RNA
Rfam family: Bacterial small subunit ribosomal RNA
Source: RNAcentral